AUUGAACGCUGGCGGCAGGCCUAACACAUGCAAGUCGAGCGGAGCGGCGGACGGGUGAGUAAUGCCUAGGACUCUGCCUGGUAGUGGGGGAUAAUGUCCGGAAACGGGAGCUCAUACCGCUUACUAUCAGAUGAGCCUAUGCCGGAUGAGCUAGUUGGUGGGGUAAAGGACUACCUAGGCGACGUGCCCUAUAUGGUCUGAGAGGAUGACCAGCCACAUUGGAAGUGUGACACGGUUCAGAGGCCUACGGGAGGCAGCGGUGGGGAAGAUUGCACAAUGGGCGGAAGCCUGAUGCAGCCAUGCCGCGUGUAUGAAGAAGGCGUUCGGGUUGUAAAGUACUUGCAGCGAGGAGGCGUUACUCGCAGAAGAAGGACCGGCUAACGCCGUGCCAGCAGCCGCGGUAAUAC
This 407-nucleotide ribosomal RNA is filed under the name uncultured bacterium. RNAcentral describes it as "partial 16S ribosomal RNA". It matches the Rfam family "Bacterial small subunit ribosomal RNA", at positions 29 to 526 of the family's 1533-position model. The record is from RNAcentral.